Molecule: ribosomal RNA, 399 nt
Filed under: uncultured bacterium
Lineage: Bacteria
Description: bacterial SSU rRNA
Rfam family: Bacterial small subunit ribosomal RNA
Source: RNAcentral
GGGGAAUAUUGCACAAUGGAGGAAACUCUGAUGCAGCAACGCCGCGUGAGUGAUGAAGGUCUUCGGAUUGUAAAGCUCUGUCUUCUGGGACGAUAAUGACGGUACCAGAGGAGGAAGCCACGGCUAACUACGUGCCAGCAGCCGCGGUAAUACGUAGGGGGCAAGCGUUGUCCGGAAUUAUUGGGCGUAAAGCGCGCGCAGGCGGCUGUUUAAGUCUGGUGUAUAAUCCUGGGGCUCAACUCCGGGUCGCACUGGAAACUGGAUGGCUUGAGUGCAGAAGAGGAGAGUGGAAUUCCACGUGUAGCGGUGAAAUGCGUAGAGAUUAGGAAGAAUACCAGUGGCGAAGGCGGCUUUCUGGACUGUAACUGACGCUGAGGCAUGAAAGCGUGGGGAGCAAAC